GAUGAAGAACGCAGCGAUAUGCGAUAAGUAAUGUGAAUUGCAGAAUUCAGUGAAUCAUCGAAUCUUUGAACGCACAUUGCGCCCGCCAGUAUUCUGGCGGGCAUGCCUGUUCGAGCGUCAUUUCAACCAUCAAGCCCUGCUUGCGUUGGGGUCCUGCGGCUGCCCGCAGGCCCUGAAAACCAGUGGCGGGCUCGCUAGUCACACCGAGCGCAGUAAUACAUCUCGCUUUGGGCGUGCGGCGGGUUCUUGCCGUUAAACACCCCCUUUUUACCAAGGUUGACCUCGGAUCAGGUAGGAAUACCCGCUGAACUUAAGCAUAUCAAUAAGCGGAGGA
RNAcentral lists this unclassified non-coding RNA (334 nucleotides) under soil metagenome. Its description in RNAcentral is "partial contains 5.8S ribosomal RNA, internal transcribed spacer 2, and large subunit ribosomal RNA". The stretch from base 1 to 120 matches the Rfam family "5.8S ribosomal RNA", at positions 35 to 154 of the family's 154-position model. The record is from RNAcentral.